GAGACGGCCCGCACAUCCAAGGACGGCAGCAGGCGCGGAACUUGCCCAAUGCGCUGCGCGCGAGGCAGCGACGGGGAGCGCGCGAGCGAGGCGGGCCCACAGCCCCCGCCGCGGAGCCGAGGGCAAGGUCUGGUGCCAGCAGCCGCGGUAAUUCCAGCUCGGCGAGCGUCGCGCGGCGCUGCUGCAGUUGAAACGCCCGUAGUUGGCCCCCCGCCGCCACGAGGAAACGGGAGCGCUCCAGGCAGGCCCGUUGGACCCGCCGCGUGGGACCGCGCAGCGGGCGCGGCGCGCCGCGGCAGCCCCGAGGAGAGCGGGCGGGGGCACCGGUACCGGCCGGGGACGGGUGAAACAGGAUGAUCCCGCCGAGACCGCCGGCCGCGCAGGCGCCUGCCAAGACCGCCUCUGUCAAUCAAGGGCGAAGGCCGGGGGCUAGAAGGCGAUCAGACACCACCGUAUUCCCGGCCGUAAACGGAGCCGCCCCGCGGCCGGCGCGCGCGUCCCGCCGGCCGCCCUGGGAAACCGGGAGGCUCCGGGCUCUGGGGGGAGA
RNAcentral lists this ribosomal RNA (547 nucleotides) under Giardia duodenalis. Its description in RNAcentral is "SSU rRNA". It matches the Rfam family "Eukaryotic small subunit ribosomal RNA", at positions 400 to 1124 of the family's 1831-position model. Lineage: Eukaryota; Fornicata; Diplomonadida; Hexamitidae. The record is from RNAcentral.